UGAAUGGAUGAAUGGAUGGACAGAUGGAUGGAUGGAUGGAUGGAUGGACAGAUGGAUGGAUGGGAGUGGAUGGAUAAGUGGGAGAAUAAAUGGGUGUGUGGGUAGGUAAGCAGACAGGUACAAAGAACAACUGAUAGAUAACAGGGUUUUACUUUAGGGAAUUGUCUCAUGGUAUUGUGGGGGCUGACAAGUCCAAAAUUCUGCAGGGCAGCAGGGCAGCCUGGAAACUCAGGCAGGAGUUGGUGCUGUAGUCUUGAGGCAGAUUUUCUUCUCCACUGGAGAAGAAACCUGUUUUUUCUCUUAAUGCCCUCAGCAGAUUGGAUGGGGGUCAUCUCUUCAUUAUUGAGGGUGAUCUUUACUUAAAGUCAUUUUCUUAAAACUUUUUCUUUUUUUUUUUUUAGAGACAGGGUUUCACCAUGUUGGUCAGGCUGCUCUCGAACUCCCGACCUCAGGUGAUCCGCCUGCCUCAGCCUCCCAAAGUGCUGGGAUUACAGGCGUGAGCCACCGCGCCCGGCCUUAAAAUCAUUUUAAGGCCAAAUCAUUCGUAGCUCCUGCUCCAAGCAGCUUGGCCAUAGUGAAGGAAGAAAGAAAUUCAAGUGGGGCCUGCUCUGCUCUAGUCAUCUCAGGGAGCCGGGUCCAGCCCCACCCAGCUGACUGCACCUUUCUUUAGCCUUGGUGAGCCUACAGUGUCUCAUCUGUAAGACAGGGUGACACUCAACACCAUGACCUCAAGGGAACACCCGACUGGGAGGCCCGCAGAACAAGCACUUUGUAAGUUACACAGGCAAGGGCUCCUGACUAAGCCUCCUCAAAACCGCCCCUCCCAUGCCCACACAGCAGCUCUGAGAAGCACAGCCUGGUGACAAAGUUGCUAAGAAGGGACACGAUGUCUUGCUUGAUCAGCAGCCGGGGGUGGUGGCGAUGUGGGACCAGAGGCUUGAGCUUGCCGGCAAGGCCAGCAAGGCCAGGCGCAGGCUUCUGGUAGGACCCUUCUGGCCUCCCACAACAAGAGCUGCUCUCACCGUCUGACGGCUGCCUUCUGGGUCCUCUGCAGGGCUGUGUGCCUGAGUGGUCAUCAACCAAAGGUCAUGUGGCUGGGGGAGCCCUGUGGCUUCUGGUCUGCAGGGGUCUGGGCUCCAUGUGACCUUCUCUCUCUAGGUUUCUGUUUCUUCUCCCCAGCUGGGAGCCCUGAGACCUGCAGUUUUCCUCCCGGGUCCCACAAGUCAUAGCUCUGGAAGACCAUGUCCCUUGUGGGGCCUGAUACCGGUGGUCCCCUCUGGUGGGGUGAAUUGCACCUUCCAGAAAGGAAUGAAGCUUCAUCGGAGGAAGAGCUUUUGGAAGACAAGCCACAUCCAAGCUUUGCAGUUGAAGUCGAUCAAUUCCUGGAGUGUACUUAGAGAUGAAGAAAGGGCAGGGAUCCUGCCACUUUGGUGAGAGAAAGCCUGGAGUUUCCCCAACUGAGUGGAGCCCCCGACGGCCUCGGGACGCCCGCUGCUUGUUCUGCCGCCCUGUGCCUCUGACUUGCAGGGUUUCCGCACAGCUGGGUUUCCGGAGCGGACACCUUCUUUCUAGACCAGGCCCCAGGUGAGCACAGCCACACUGUGCUGCUCUUCACAGAAGCAAUUUGUGGGAAGCCCCAGCAGAUUCAGGAAGAGGUCAUGGCGGCGGGAGAGGGGCUCAGGCAGCUCUGACCUCUUUCCUUGGCUGAGGGUGAGCAGCAGCCGCAGUGGGGGCCUGCGCUGAUCCCACAGUUCAGUGGCCACUCUCCUCUGGGCUGGAGACCCCCUUGGGGAGUGGAGGUGACCCCUAACUUCGCUAGAGGGCCAGAGACGCUUCUCCAAGGAGGGGAUCUCAACCAAGGUCCAGAGGGUAAGCCUGAGCUAUCCGGGAGAAGACGGGGCACUCCCAGCAGCCCUGGGUGGGGGGCAGCAGGCCUGGAAUGGCUCGGGCCCAGCUGGGCAAGUAGCCUGGCCAUGCACCUCACACUGGACCCCAUGACUCCCGGCUUCCGCCUUUGACCUCUUGAAUGCCCCCUGGAGGGGAUGAUAGAUUCCAGAAGGCCAGGGGCUAAAGGCCAGGGACUCUCUUCAGCAGGGCCCAGGUGUGCGGCCUGCCGGCUCCGCUUGCCCAUAGUUUGCAAUUGGGUAAGCAAUGCCUCAGUUUUCUCAUCUGUGACAUUGGGAUGAUGAUGAGAUGAUGACAAUGAUAGGGUCUUCUGAGCCUUGGCACAGAGCCGUCAGGACACAGCAGCCCUGGCUGUCACUGUUUGCUUCACCUGGCCUGGCCCCAGGAGUUCUGGGUGCAGUGUCACACGUCCCUCCGCCUCUCAGCCAGCCUGGAGUUGCUCCCACUGGGGCUUAGACAGGACCCCUCCAUCGAGGCUCUCCUGUCCCCUAAAGCAGCCACCAGCCCAUGGGAUGCUGGGCCCUCUCCCUUCCGGCCCCUCCUGGCCCAGCCUCAAGAAACCCACAGCCCCACCUGCCCCAGUCCACGUGAGGCCAGCACUAUGGGGUCUGCCCAGCCCCCAACCCUACCCAGCAUGUGUCCUUCUACACUCUCUGCGGCCUUCACACUCGCUGAAAGGGCAAUAGCUUUUUCAGGAGAAAUGACCCUAAUUUUGAAGCAAUUUAAAGGUCAUAGAGCGGUGACAGGUUCCCACGUUUGUGGUGGGGGCAUCUGUCAUGAAGAGAGUAAGUCUUUACCUGUGAUCACAGGACUCACAUUUUAGGAAGUCUCACCCAGCUCAACCACGUAGGAAAAGCAUUCCCCAGAUCACCAUGGUGGAGCUCUUCACCGGAGCGCCUGGCUUUAUGUCUUCAAUAUACGUUUGUGAAAGGUGUCACUCAGGCUGCAGUGUAGUGGUCCACUCAUGGCUCACUGCAAUCUCUGCCUCCAACAUUCAAGCGAUCCUCCCAGCUCAGCCUCCAGAGGAGCUGAACCACAGGCACGCAC
Molecule: long non-coding RNA, 2952 nt
Organism: Callithrix jacchus (white-tufted-ear marmoset)
Lineage: Eukaryota; Metazoa; Chordata; Mammalia; Primates; Cebidae
Source: RefSeq, a predicted model, not a curated record